CCUACGGGAGGCAGCAGUGGGGGAUAUUGCACAAUGGGGGAAACCCUGAUGCAGCGACGCCGCGUGUGGGAAGACGGUCCUCUGGAUUGUAAACCACUGUCCCCAGGGACGAAGAUGACGGUACCGGGGGAGGAAACGCCGGCUAACUACGUGCCAGCAGCCGCGGUAAGACGUCGGGAGCGAGCGUUGUCCGGAAUUACUGGGCGGAAAAGGAGCGUAGGCGGGACUGCAAGUUGGGUGUCAAAUCUACCGGCUCAACCGGUAGCCGCACUCAAAACUGCAGUUCUUGAGUGAAGUAGAGGCAGGCGGAAUUCCUCGUGUAGCGGUGCAAUGCGUAGAUAUUAGGUGGAACACCAGUGGCGCCGGCGGCCUGCUGGGCUUUUCCUGCCGCUGAGGCUCG
Molecule: ribosomal RNA, 400 nt
Filed under: uncultured bacterium
Lineage: Bacteria
Description: partial 16S ribosomal RNA
Rfam family: Bacterial small subunit ribosomal RNA
Source: RNAcentral